This 506-nucleotide ribosomal RNA is filed under the name uncultured bacterium. RNAcentral describes it as "partial 16S ribosomal RNA". It matches the Rfam family "Bacterial small subunit ribosomal RNA", at positions 29 to 523 of the family's 1533-position model. The record is from RNAcentral.
AGUGAACGCUGGCGGUAGGCCUAACACAUGCAAGUCGAACGGCAGCACAGAGGAGCUUGCUCCUUGGGUGGCGAGUGGCGGACGGGUGAGGAAUACAUCGGAAUCUACUCUGUCGUGGGGGAUAACGUAGGGAAACUUACGCUAAUACCGCAUACGACCUACGGGUGAAAGCAGGGGAUCUUCGGACCUUGCGCGAUUGAAUGAGCCGGUGUCGGAUUAGCUAGUUGGCGGGGUAAAGGCCCACAAAGGCGACGAUCCGUAGCUGGUCUGAGAGGAUGAUCAGCCACACUGGAACUGAGACACGGUCCAGACUCCUACGGGAGGCAGCAGUGGGGAAUAUUGGACAAUGGGCGCAAGCCUGAUCCAGCCAUACCGCGUGGGUGAAGAAGGCCUUCGGGUUGUAAAGCCCUUUUGUUGGGAGAGAAAUCCAUCUGGUUAAUACCCGGAUGGGAUGACGGUACCCAAAGAAUAAGCACCGGCUAACUUCGUGCCAGCCGCCGCCGUAA